Non-coding RNA from Podarcis lilfordi (Lilford's wall lizard), 75 nucleotides. The record is from the annotation of a GenBank genome assembly. NCBI's taxonomy places the organism in Eukaryota, Metazoa, Chordata, Lepidosauria, Squamata, Lacertidae.
GCCCCAGGAUGGUUCAGUCGGUAGAGCUUGAGACUCUUCAUCCCAUGAACGUGGGCUUGAGCCCCACAUUGGGCA